UAUUUACAAAAACAGAAAAAAAUCUAUUUUAAUGCAACUUUGCACGAGGGUUCAGAGGUGAAAUUCUGAACGGCGGCUGUAUAAAAGGUGUUAUUACUAAUUUUGUUACAUUAAUUUGUUUCUUUUUAAUGUUGAUGGGUGGACUUGCAAAUUGAGUUUUCUUUGUAUUAUUGGUCCAGGUACAGAUACUGGAAGGUUGCAUGCUUCCUGGUGCUAGAAGAUACUCUU
Molecule: unclassified non-coding RNA, 228 nt
Filed under: Melitaea cinxia (Glanville fritillary)
Lineage: Eukaryota; Metazoa; Arthropoda; Insecta; Lepidoptera; Nymphalidae
Description: misc RNA ENSMCXG00005021115.1
Source: RNAcentral